Long non-coding RNA from Eurytemora carolleeae, 598 nucleotides. RefSeq lists it as uncharacterized. The record is from RefSeq and is a predicted model, not a curated record. Lineage: Eukaryota; Metazoa; Arthropoda; Copepoda; Calanoida; Temoridae. The transcript is spliced from 3 exons.
AAAAAAUUUUGGUUUUUCAUUUAAUAUUUAAAUUUUUCUUUAUUUUUUUUCAUUUGUGUUGUGGAAAUAUUUUGGAAUGUCUUUGUUAAAUAAGAAAGAACUUUUUUCGCUUUUGCUACUCAGGAGGUAUAUCUCCAGAUAGGUUGUAUUUUCUAUCAUAAAUUAGGAUGCAGAUUUAAAUUUCAGACCUGCUGAUGUGGGGGGGGGCUUGUCCUGUGACUAUAAAUUUUAAGAGUCUAGUUUAAGGUUCCUUUCUUAUAGGAAACUUGAUUGAUUUUGAAUUUUCUAGGUUUUUGAAUUUUCUAGGUCUGAAUAUAAAAUUAAGCCCCUGGAUCUACAAGAUUACAAGAUUAGAAAAAACAAACUCAGAAUCCAGCAAUUUUCAAAUGGCACCAAAAAAUGGUGUAAUCAGCAACAAGGAAUGAAAGAGACCCACAAAGCAGAUUUUAUAAAAAGAAACAUCAAGACGGCUGCAGACAUUUGGCCAGAGGGAAGAGGAGCUAAAAGAGGCCAAACAAGAAGUGCUGAAAACAUAAAGGAGAAAAUAUGAACAAGAGAAGAGCCGUCGUUUUUUACCUGUAUAAGGGAACAGGUUUUU